UAGUAUAGAGAUAUCUAGUACCUUUUGUAUUAGGGUUUUUCAAGAAUUGUUUAAGAAAUUAAAAGUCUCGAAUGGAAAGAUGCAAUCAUGUUUAAGGGUAAUGACGUUGUAAAGUUAUUAGUAAAUACAUGAUAAUAGCUAUAUACUAAUUGCUUUUUCAGAUAUCUAGUUAGUCUAAAAAUGUAUUUAGUACUACUGUUAAUUUUAGUAAGUUAAAGUGAUUGGGUUAAGCUGAUCACUUGAAAUAAUGAUUUUUGUCAAAUUAAUUAAUUUAGUAGUUUUUGUAUUUUACAUCUUAUUAAAUUGUAAUAAAUAUGUUAAUUUUUUUUAUAAGACAUAUUAUAUACUUCAUUUUUUGUAAUAGGCUAAUUCUUUUUAAGAAAAUAUUAUGAUAAAAAUGAGUAGAUCUAUUAAAUAUAGGGCUAUAGAAAUUUAGCGGUUUUAAUUGUGUUAUUUAAAAAUUUUAUUUAAUGAACUCGGCAAAUUUUAUCUAUGACUGUUUAACAAAAACAUUUCCUUUUGUAUUAAUAAAAGGUAUGCCCUGCCCGGUGUUGUAUGAUAAACGGCGGCCUUAGCGUGAGGGUCCAAAGGUAGCAUAAUAAUUUGGCCUUUAAUUGGGGUCUGGAAUGAAUGGGUUAACAUGGAUAAGCUGUGUCAAAUGAGGUUAGUUGAAAUUAAUUUUGAAGUGAAGAAGCUUCAAUUUCUAGGAAAGACGACAAGACCCUACGAAGCUUUAUUUUAAGGGUAUAAUUAGAUUGUAUAUUCGAGAAUUUUGUUGGGGCAACAAAGUGAAAAUGUAUCACUUUAUAUUCUAUUAAACUUAUUAGUUAAGUCUUAUUUUAUAUGAAUAGUAAGUUACUCUAGGGAUAACAGCGCAAUCUUUUAGGAUAGUUGAAAUUGGUUAAAGGGUUUGCGACCUCGAUGUUGGCUUUGGGUAACUUAAAAGUGUAGAGGCUUUAUAAGUAGAUCUGUUCGAUCUUUAAUUCCCGACGUGAUCUGAGUUCAGACCGGCGUGAGCUAGGUCAGUUUCUAUCUUCUUGGAAUGAAAAAAUUGGGGGUUUUUGUACGAAAGGAAUUUUCAACCGGAAUGUGUUCUUUUAUUAUUUGU
Molecule: ribosomal RNA, 1108 nt
Filed under: Mytilisepta virgata
Lineage: Eukaryota; Metazoa; Mollusca; Bivalvia; Mytilida; Mytilidae
Description: large subunit ribosomal RNA
Rfam family: Bacterial large subunit ribosomal RNA (bases 682-1043)
Source: RNAcentral